GUUUCUUCUGUAGAGAAACGGGACACUUCAAGAAGGAUUGUCCGAAAAGAAAGGCAUGGUUUGAUAAGAAAGGGAUUCAGUACGAUCCAGCCUAUAAAAGGAAGUGAACAAUACUUGUUCAUGGGAAACAGGAUGAAGGCACAAAUUAAAGGCGUC
Molecule: long non-coding RNA, 156 nt
Organism: Salvia splendens (bonfire salvia)
Lineage: Eukaryota; Viridiplantae; Streptophyta; Magnoliopsida; Lamiales; Lamiaceae
Exons: 2
Source: RefSeq, a predicted model, not a curated record